RNAcentral lists this ribosomal RNA (438 nucleotides) under uncultured bacterium. Its description in RNAcentral is "bacterial SSU rRNA". It matches the Rfam family "Bacterial small subunit ribosomal RNA", at positions 338 to 768 of the family's 1533-position model. The record is from RNAcentral.
CCUACGGGGGGCAGCAGUGGGGAAUAUUGCGCAAUGGGCGAAAGCCUGACGCAGCGACGCCGCGUGAGGGAUGAAGGUUUUCGGAUCGUAAACCUCUGUCAGAAGGGAAGAAAGUGCGUGGUGCUAAUCAGCCGCGUAUUGACGGUACCUUCAAAGGAAGCACCGGCUAACUCCGUGCCAGCAGCCGCGGUAAUACGGAGGGUGCGAGCGUUAAUCGGAAUUACUGGGCGUAAAGCGCACGUAGGCUGUUGUGUAAGUCAGGGGUGAAAUCCCACGGCUCAACCGUGGAACUGCCCUUGAUACUGCAUGACUGGAAUCCGGGAGAGGGUGGCGGAAUUCCAGGUGUAGGAGUGAAAUCCGUAGAUAUCUGGAGGAACAUCAGUGGCGAAGGCGGCCACCUGGACCGGUAUUGACGCUGAGGUGCGAAAGCGUGGGGAG